This 253-nucleotide ribosomal RNA is filed under the name uncultured bacterium. RNAcentral describes it as "partial 16S ribosomal RNA". It matches the Rfam family "Bacterial small subunit ribosomal RNA", at positions 524 to 776 of the family's 1533-position model. The record is from RNAcentral.
UACGUAGGCAGCAAGCGUUGUUCGGAGUUACUGGGCGUAAAGAGUGCGUAGGUGGUGCCCUAAGUCUGUUGUGAAAUCUCCCGGCUUAACUGGGAGGGUGCGGUGGAAACUGGGGUGCUUGAGUGUGGGAGAGGUAAGCGGAAUUCCUGGUGUAGCGGUGAAAUGCGUAGAUAUUCGGAAGAACACCAGUGGCGAAGGCGGCUCACUGGCCCGGUACUGACGCUGAGGUGCGAAAGCGUGGGGAGCAAACAGG